AACGCACCUUGCGCCCUUUGGCUAUUCCGAAGGGCAUGCCUGUUUGAGUAUCAUGAACACCUCAACUCUCAUGGUCCGCCAUGAUGAGCUUGGACUUUGGGGGUCUUGCUGGCCUAACCGUCGGCUCCUCUCAAAUGAAUCAGCUUGCCAGUGUUUGGUGGCAUCACGGGUGUGAUAACUAUCUACGCCUGCGCUCUUCCACCAGGUAACCUUCAGUGAUGGAGGUUCGCUGGAGCUCACAGACGUCCUCUUCCCAUGGAGGACAGCUUUUGAACGUUUGAUCUCAAAUCAGGUAGGACUACCCGCUGAACUUAA
Molecule: unclassified non-coding RNA, 315 nt
Filed under: uncultured Thelephoraceae
Lineage: Eukaryota; Fungi; Basidiomycota; Agaricomycetes; Thelephorales; Thelephoraceae
Description: sequence contains ITS2
Source: RNAcentral